CAUGAGUUGUCCACUUAUAUUGUGUUCUUGUCCUUAUAGAUUAACUACACUUAUGGUAUUCUCACUGUCCCUUAUAGGUAUCCUAGAUACUAACAAAUUGAUCGGACCCAACUAUGUCGACUAAUUAAGAAACAUGAGAAUUAUCCUCAUCCAGGAGAAAGUCUCCUAUAUUCUGGAUACACCUGCUCCAGAUUCUCUUGGAAAAG
RNAcentral lists this long non-coding RNA (206 nucleotides) under Elaeis guineensis (African oil palm). RNAcentral's name for it is "long non-coding RNA (EGUI_LNC082623)". The record is from RNAcentral. Lineage: Eukaryota; Viridiplantae; Streptophyta; Magnoliopsida; Arecales; Arecaceae.